RNAcentral lists this unclassified non-coding RNA (384 nucleotides) under Elsholtzia pilosa. RNAcentral describes it as "partial external transcribed spacer". The record is from RNAcentral. Lineage: Eukaryota; Viridiplantae; Streptophyta; Magnoliopsida; Lamiales; Lamiaceae.
AUAUCUCCUACACGCCUCUUCAUUUGUUGGCGCAAGCAUGUUCUUGGCUAAAAUUGGGUUUCCUGUGCUAGAUACCUAUCAUGAUGGAAUUUUGUUGGCUAUAAUUGUCGGUUUUCCGUUGUGUGCUGCUACUCCAAGUUGGAGAAGUGGUGCGCUGUGGACCUCAAGGCACUCAUUGUGUCUCGCACCGUCACACCUAUAUUGGUGUUUUGGUUGAUGAGCCACAAUGCAAUGCUUGAUAUCUCGGGUGCGGAAUAUCUCGUGGGUAUGAGGCCAUGGCCUCUGAUCACCACAACAACAAGCGUUCUACGCUUCGUGCGAAUGACGGUUGGUUCGAUCUUUGAACGUGCUCUAGUAGCUCGUUUGGAGUCGUGCCGAUGUCUG